Molecule: long non-coding RNA, 1056 nt
Filed under: Hordeum vulgare
Lineage: Eukaryota; Viridiplantae; Streptophyta; Magnoliopsida; Poales; Poaceae
Description: long non-coding RNA (HVUL_LNC008913)
Source: RNAcentral
CAAAUUGUGAAGCUCUUGUUCUCUUCUUAGACCUGAGAUAUUGAUUUGUAACAAGAAAGUAAAAGAAUUGACUGCAAAUAACAUAAAUCCUGUUUUUUCUUAAAUAAAAGUAAAGCCAAUUAAUAACUGGCAACAAUAUUUGAUUAUUCCAAUAAGGAAUCCAUGUCUCUAAAAAAGCUACUUUUUACAAUAUUUAAUGGUCCAUAUCUUUGUGCCCAAGGAUCACUGCAAGGAAAAAUUGUAAGAAUCAACUAAUGUAGCUGCCAUAGAAACAGAAAGAAGGAUGUCCUCAGAAAUUGCUGCGCAGAAUUGCAGGAGACAUUUGAUUUGUUUACACGAUUUAAUGAUCAGCUACAAAAUGCAGUCCAGCGGUAUUACCAUGCAUCCACAAAUAGUUCAUACACUUCAUCAUUCUCUCUGUUCUUCGUUCAGCCUGCUAUUCCCAUAUCCUGUACCAGAACAUUGCUCGCAUGAAUACAUAGCAUCCCAUGAAUCCAUGUCAUAGUGCAUGCCUCUCCCAGCGAGUCAAGCUUUGUACCCAUUUCUAGUUUUAUAAUACAUCUCCUAUGCUCUCGGCAUAUUUCCUGAAGGAUUUCUGAAGGGAACGUACUGCCUCAAUGUGGCGGAUAGAAUCCAACCCUCGCUCUGAAAAUCAUAAUCACUAUGUCAGCUUCUUGCGUAACUACAAUUUUUCUGUACUCUAUAUUUUACUAGCAAUGGUACACGGCCUUUGACACUAAUCUAGAAACAACCAUCUCUAAGCUUCGCCUUGUUUAUGGUUUACCUCUUCUUCAACCCGUAGAUCCAUGGCUACCAGUUUCACCAGAUCCUCCAAAUUAGGCAAGCUACAAACUGAAAGAUCAGAACAACAAUGUUUUAUUUCACACAUAGAUCAGGGAGGAACUUAUGCUCUAACUGGAUCCAAACGGAACUACAUCACGCAGAAGCCAACUGGAUCCAAACAGAUUAUAUCUUUCUGAAUAUAGAACUUUGCACUCUCGUACUCCUCCUCUCACGAACAUAGCAAUAAUAAUGUGUGGUUGACUUUUAAAAUAC